RNAcentral lists this ribosomal RNA (254 nucleotides) under uncultured bacterium. Its description in RNAcentral is "partial 16S ribosomal RNA". It matches the Rfam family "Bacterial small subunit ribosomal RNA", at positions 524 to 776 of the family's 1533-position model. The record is from RNAcentral.
UACAGAGGUCUCAAGCGUUGUUCGGAAUCACUGGGCGUAAAGCGCACGUAGGCGGAUCGUUAAGUCGGGGGUGAAAUCCCAGAGCUCAACUCUGGAACUGCCUUCGAUACUGGCGAUCUUCGAGUCCGGGAGAGGUGAGUGGAACUCCGAGUGUAGAGGUGAAAUUCGUAGAUAUUCGGAAGAACACCAGUGGCGAAGGCGGCUCACUGGCCCGGUACUGACGCUGAGGUGCGAAAGCGUGGGGAGCAAACAGG